AUGAACGCUGGCGGCGUGCCUAAUACAUGCACGUCGAGCGAACAGACGAGGAGCUUGCUCCUCUGACGUUAGCGGCGGACGGGUGAGUAACACGUGGAUAACCUACCUAUAAGACUGGGAUAACUUCGGGAAACCGGAGCUAAUACCGGAUAAUAUAUUGAACCGCAUGGUUCAAUAGUGAAAGACGGUUUUGCUGUCACUUAUAGAUGGAUCCGCGCCGCAUUAGCUAGUUGGUAAGGUAACGGCUUACCAAGGCAACGAUGCGUAGCCGACCUGAGAGGGUGAUCGGCCACACUGGAACUGAGACACGGUCCAGACUCCUACGGGAGGCAGCAGUAGGGAAUCUUCAGCAAUGGGCGAAAGCUUGACGGAGCAACGCCGCGUGAGUGAUGAAGGUCUUCGGAUCGUAAAACUCUGUUAUUAGGGAAGAACAAAUGUGUAAGUAACUAUGCACGUCUUGACGGUACCUAAUCAGAAAGCCACGGCUAACUACGUG
This 496-nucleotide ribosomal RNA is filed under the name uncultured bacterium. Its description in RNAcentral is "partial 16S ribosomal RNA". It matches the Rfam family "Bacterial small subunit ribosomal RNA", at positions 29 to 507 of the family's 1533-position model. The record is from RNAcentral.